RNAcentral lists this ribosomal RNA (494 nucleotides) under uncultured bacterium. RNAcentral's name for it is "partial 16S ribosomal RNA". It matches the Rfam family "Bacterial small subunit ribosomal RNA", at positions 28 to 506 of the family's 1533-position model. The record is from RNAcentral.
GACGAACGCUGGCGGCGUGCCUAAUACAUGCAAGUAGAACGCUGAAGGAGGAGCUUGCUUCUCUGGAUGAGUUGCGAACGGGUGAGUAACGCGUAGGUAACCUGCCUGGUAGCGGGGGAUAACUAUUGGAAACGAUAGCUAAUACCGCAUAACAGUAGAUAUCGCAUGAUAUCUACUUGAAAGGUGCAAUUGCAUCACUACCAGAUGGACCUGCGUUGUAUUAGCUAGUUGGUGAGGUAACGGCUCACCAAGGCGACGAUACAUAGCCGACCUGAGAGGGUGAUCGGCCACACUGGGACUGAGACACGGCCCAGACUCCUACGGGGGGAAACAGUAGGGACUCUUAGGCAAUGGACGGAAGUCUAACCGAGCAACGCCGGGUGAGUGAAGAAGUUUUUCGGACCGUAAAGCUCUGUUGUAAGAAAAGAACGAGUGUGAGAGUGGAAAGUUCACACUGGGACGGUAUUUAACCAGAAAGGGACGGCAAACUACGU